RNAcentral lists this long non-coding RNA (1161 nucleotides) under Anser cygnoides (Swan goose). Its description in RNAcentral is "lncRNA (ENSACDG00005008276.1)". The record is from RNAcentral. Lineage: Eukaryota; Metazoa; Chordata; Aves; Anseriformes; Anatidae.
ACGUCAUGACACUGGGACAAUGGCACUUGGAUGUCGUGACACCAGGACGUGGGGACAGGGGGACGUCGUGGCACCGGGACAUCGUGACACUGGGACAAUGGCACUGGGACAUCGUGACACCGGGACGUCGUGACACCGGGACAUCGUGACACCGGGACGUCGUGACACUGGGACAAUGGCACCGGGAUGUCGUGACACCGGGAUAUCGUGACACCGGGACAAUGGCACUUGGAUGUCGUGACACCGCGACGUGGGGACAGGGGGACGUUGUGGCACCGGGAGGUCGUGGCACCGGGACGAUGGCACCGGGACGUUGUGGCACCGGGACGUCGUGACACCGGGACGUCGUGACACCGGGACAAUGGCACCGGGACGUCGUGACACCGGGACAAUGGCACUUGGAUGUCGUGACACCGGGACGUGGGGACAGGGGGACGUCGUGGCACCGGGACGUCGUGACACUGGGACAAUGGCACUGGGACGUCGUGACACCAGGACGUGGGGACAGGGGGACAUCGUGACACCGGGACAAUGGCACUGGGAUGUCGUGACACCAGGAUAUCGUGACACCGGGACAGUGGCACUGGGACACCGGGACAUCGUGACACCGGGACGUCGUGACACCGGGACAGUGGCACUGGGAUGUCACGGUCCCGGGAUAUGGUGACACUGGGAUAUCGGGACAAUGGCACUGGGACCCUGGGACAUCGUGACACCGGGACGUCGUGACACCAGGACAGUGGCAUUGGGACAUUGUGACACCAGGGCAGUGGCACUGGGACACCGGGACAUCAUGACACCGGGACGUCGUGACACCGGGACGUCGUGACACCGGGACAUCAUCACCGUAGGCACCGUCACCGCCUGCCGCCCCCGGGGGGGCCGGGGGACACGGGGACGUCGGCAGCGGGACGUGGGGACACGGGGACGUCGUGACACCGGGAGGCGGUGGCGUUGUCACCGAGGGGGGGGGGGUGGCACCUGGCACCGUGCCCGACUGUCCCCGUGCCACCGCCGCGGUGUCACCGUCACCCUGACGCCCCCCCACCCCGUGGUGACAUCACCCGGCCCCAAAUCCCGCGGUUUUUGCCCCAUUUUGGGGGGGGGGGUGUCUCUGUGAGGUGACGCUGAAUAAAGCCCCCGGGGGGGGCGCGGGUGGCA